GGGGAAGUAGCUCAGUUGGUUAGAGCAGUGAUAUCAAUUCAUGGUCGCAGGUUCAAGUCCUGUCUUCUCCA
This 71-nucleotide transfer RNA is filed under the name Chryseobacterium sp. RNAcentral's name for it is "tRNA-OTHER". It matches the Rfam family "tRNA". Rfam says of the family: Transfer RNA (tRNA) molecules are approximately 80 nucleotides in length. Their secondary structure includes four short double-helical elements and three loops (D, anti-codon, and T loops). The record is from RNAcentral. Lineage: Bacteria; Pseudomonadati; Bacteroidota; Flavobacteriia; Flavobacteriales; Weeksellaceae.